Molecule: transfer RNA, 79 nt
Filed under: Macrotus waterhousii (Waterhouse's leaf-nosed bat)
Lineage: Eukaryota; Metazoa; Chordata; Mammalia; Chiroptera; Phyllostomidae
Description: transfer RNA-Leu
Rfam family: tRNA
About the family: Transfer RNA (tRNA) molecules are approximately 80 nucleotides in length.
Source: RNAcentral
AGUUAAAGUGGCAGAGACCGGUAAUUGCGUAAAACUUAAGCCUUUAUUUACCAGAGGUUCARUUCCUCUCUUUAACAUA